CGCAUCCCGCAGCCAAUCCAUCCUCGCCUCGUCCCACUCCCGCACCAGCCACCACCCAAACCCUAGCCCCCUUUCCCCUCGAUCCCCACAGCCUCCCUCGCCUCCUCCAUCCCUCCUCCUUGCCUCGGCACGGCCUCCCCCGGAGCCUCGCCGCCGCUUGCUAUUCCUCGCCGCGCCUGCGAGCUCGGUGGCGGGAUGAAUGGACAGGGGAGGUGGACGAUGAGGGCUACUCCAUCCACCAGAUCCGCGCCGCCCCUGCCCAAAUCCUCUCCGCGUGCGCCGCACCCAAUCCCGUCCUCGCUCGUCUCACGCGGCCCUCUUGCGCCGCUCGUCUCCACCUCAUAUCUGGCAUCCUCGCUGCGGCCAUAGAUCGAGGAGGACGGCGCGAUGACGACCACGAUGCGUCGGACAUCCCAGAUCGACGACGCGAUGGAAGACAUGAGAGCUGGCCGAGGAAGAGGGGGCAGGGCCGCAGGUCAUGAAGGGCACGGUGGCUGCGGGCGGAAGCAGCAUGGGUUGAAGGAGCGGCGGAUGUGGGCGGGGUCGGAGGUUGGGGGAGACUCGUCGGCUGGGCGACAGCGAGCGCCGGUGAGCGCAAUGCAUGAGUUUCCAGAAGCGUCCUCUCCUACAAGGUAGGCAAGGACGAUGUCGUCGCCCUCGCAGGUUCUCAAUCUGUUGCAUCUCUGUUCUCCUCGUCAAGGUUAGCUGCUCUAAUUCCUAGAUCUGGGGUGUGGCUGCAGGGGAGGGGAGGCGGCCAAUGACAGGGAGAAGCAGCAGGCCGUCGAGGAGUGCAAGCAGAAGGGGAAGCUUCUGGACGGGAUUUAGACAAGGAAACAGAGACCCGUGCGAAAUCGAGCAUCCUGGUAGUGCCUCGACCAAAGCGGGUCGACGGAUAGCACCGGUGAGCACGGAGCAUGGUGCAGCGAGUUGGAUAGGCAGCAAGAGAGGUGACCACGGGUGUGGCUUGGGGAGCUCCGCACACAUGAAGUGAUGAUGAGUGCAUCCGACCCCACCAUGCUGCUGGUCCUGGAGAAACAAGGGGUACAUGAACCAGAAAUGAUGUGAUAUACUUGGUUAUUUGAACAUGAAGGUCAGCCGCGGGGUGACGCGACAUGGCUCAUUACAAGCUUCAGCUGGAUCGAAUAGUGGGCCUUCUAUAUAUAUAUUCAGCUGUAUCAUUUCUUACUAUAUAUAUCUUCCUGUCGACCAGACGAAACCAUACAUGGAUCCUUCGCCUCCUUUCUUGCUCAGAACCCAUGAUACAACCUCGGCGGCUGUCCAGCGACUAACAGGUAAUUUCUCUUUCAAUUUGAUGAUGAUGGAUGAGAAUCAGUUCUAUGAUUGCAGCUUAUAAAAACAGAUGUUGGAUGUCCCUUAUGUGAUGUGCUUAUUUACCAUGAUAGAUGCAAUUGCUUAUUAGCAGGUGCUCUCCGAAUCCUUCUUUAACUAAUUUACUUUUGAUGUUCGGACAAAGGAGACUAUAACUUUUUAUAUUCGUUCUAUCAUGGAUUCCCUCUCUAGCCUAUGUACGUUUCAGAAAUAGGUACACACCUAGGAGAAGCCUGAGACCUAAUAAUAGUGCUAAGCAAUUACUCUGAUUGUCAUUCUAUGCUAUCAUCACAACACAGGUCAAUAGACAGUCAACAAAUGUGUAAUCAGCUUUCCCUAGGUCCUGGAUCAUCUACUAAUAAUCAAAUUUUGUGGCGAGCGUCUUAUAAAUCAGCAUACCUAUUUCUCCACACUGGAUAGCUUUUAUUGUGACUACAAAGAAUAUAGUUUGAGGAUGGCAUGCCAAUUGUUCUAUGUCUUGGGGUGCUCCACCGAUGGUGAAAAUACCUCACAUGAUGAUGUUGGAUAUUCUUCUACAAACUUCUGGCCUACCAGUGGCUGAGUAUCGAAGCAAAAUGUGACAGUUGCAUGAUGUGCUUGACUGUUUAUUUGCAUACAGCAAUAUCAUCUUUUGGAGAUAAAACAGCUGUAUGGCUGUUAGAUGAGACCAUGUCGGAAGACCCUGCUGCUAUGUAAGCAAAAGGAUUCAUGAUACCCACGGUGAAAACAGAGAUAACAUGCUACAGUUAGAGCAGCAUUGAGAAACCAAGGACACGAAAUGAGUCUGAAAAAUGCUAUGGGCUGAUUCGUUCUAGCUAGGCUAUGUGUGGUAGAAGUUGUACUCACAGGAAGACUAUCGUGCUUUGUAUAAACCACGUUCUAUGAUUCACUUCUGUUAUGCUUAUUUACAUUCCAGUGUUAGGACUGAAAUCCAUCUAUUGUAAUGAAUUUGGUUGUAUUGGCAUUACCUAUUUGACUUAGGCUUGGUUCAUCACAUAUCGAUUGUUUUUCUUGUAACCCGCUGCUUGUAUGACCUAAAACUGUCAUGUAUAUGAGGCAAGUUAUUAGCAAUGUUUCACAUUUUCUUA
Molecule: RNA transcript, 2417 nt
Organism: Triticum aestivum (bread wheat)
Lineage: Eukaryota; Viridiplantae; Streptophyta; Magnoliopsida; Poales; Poaceae
Exons: 8
Source: RefSeq, a predicted model, not a curated record